CUCUCUCAUCACUUAAUUAAAACAUUUUAUACUUUUUAGUAUUAGUGACAGAACAAUUAAUAAGCGCAAUA
RNAcentral lists this transfer RNA (71 nucleotides) under Etmopterus gracilispinis (broadbanded lanternshark). RNAcentral describes it as "tRNA-Val". The record is from RNAcentral. Lineage: Eukaryota; Metazoa; Chordata; Chondrichthyes; Squaliformes; Etmopteridae.